Molecule: long non-coding RNA, 1158 nt
Filed under: Theobroma cacao (cacao)
Lineage: Eukaryota; Viridiplantae; Streptophyta; Magnoliopsida; Malvales; Malvaceae
Description: long non-coding RNA (TCAC_LNC005423)
Source: RNAcentral
UCGAAAACUGUGAGUAAAUUUAUUAUCGUCUUAAUUAUCUAGAGUAGUUUUAUACAAUUGUGUGAUUUUAUGAAAAAUGGGUUUAAAUGGUAAAUUGCUAUGUUUUAAGAGAAAUUGUGAUUUUACAAAAUGAUUUUAUAAAUUUUUUGAAAAAUUGAAUACUGGUUUUGAAAAUAGAGUAAUUGGAGACUGCCUGCUUGUGUUGUAAAUUUAUGGUUUUAAAUUGAAUGGCUUAUGACAAUAAAUGAGCAAGAAUGGCUAAACUGAUUUUGGUGUUAGAAUUAUUUGUACUAUGUAUUUAGCCUUGAGAGGCUCAGUUGCGAUAAAUUACCAUGUCAUGCAGAAAAAGAUUUUAUAAAUCAGAUGGUAGAUAAAAGAUUAGCUACUGCAGUGGUGGGGGGUUUCGUGGGCCAGCCUAUUAGAGGGGCACGGUAAACUCUUUUAUAUUCUCACCUCGAUCGUAGAGGCGCGUAGGGUAUCUCCUGAGGUGGGCUUUUUGAGUGCACUUCACGUGGACCACCGCGUGAGAGUGAGACUCAGCCAACGCCAAGGAACGACUAUGUUUCAAAAUAAAAAUAUGAUUUAUGCGAAAUAUGAAUUUUUAAUAACCUUGGCGGACUCAGUUGGAUACCCCUAGUCCAGGUGUCAUCGAGUACAGGAUUUGGCAUGAGCCAAGUUUUGAGUAAUUCAUGAGCCAUAUUGAUUAUUUGGUUGAAAUGAAUAUUCGUGAUGUGAAAAAUUUGCUGAAGUUAAUUAUUUUUUAAUUGUUUCCAUUUACUCGUCUUUAGAUAGUUUAGAUGGUGUCUGUUUACUCACUGGGAUUUUAUAAUCUCACCACCCUCAAUUCCUCACAUUUCAGGUUCAGGAUAGCCGGUAGAUAGCCGAUUGCAUCAAAGACUUCAGUUAGCCUUGCAUUGCCAAAAUUAUAGGUUCACAGACUCGCAUCUUAUUGGUUAGUUGGGGGCCCACAUGUCAUUGUAAAAGUAAUUUUAUACUUUAGUUAUCUGAUUUAAAAUAUGUAUGAACAUAUUAAGCUUUUACACCAUAUUUUUGGCGAGUUUCGGUAUUAUCGAAGAAAAAUGACGAAAAUGCCCCUAUGAGCCAAAAAAUAAUAUUUUAUUAUUUUGAUUUGGAAACGACUUAUGAUUUCUUGAAAUG